AGCGAACGCUGGCGGCAGGCCUAACACAUGCAAGUCGAGCGCCCAGCAAUGGGAGCGGCAGACGGGAUAGUAACACGUGGGAACGUGCCCUUUGGUUCGGAAUAACUCAGGGAAACUUGAGCUAAUACCGGAUAAGCCCUUCGGGGGAAAGAUUUAUUGCCAUUGGAGCGGCCCGCGUCGGAUUAGCUAGUUGGUGAGGUAAUGGCUCACCAAGGCGACGAUCCGUAGCUGGUCUGAGAGGAUGACCAGCAUCACUGGGACUGAGACACGGCCCAGACUCCUACGGGAGGCAGCAGUGGGGAAUAUUGGACAAUGGGCGCAAGCCUGAUCCAGCCAUGCCGCGUGGAUGAUGAAGGCCCUAGGGUUGUAAAGUCCUUUUAACGGGGAAGAUAAUGACGGUACCCGUAGAAUAAGCCCCGGCUAACUUCGUGCCAGCAGCCGCCGUAA
RNAcentral lists this ribosomal RNA (447 nucleotides) under uncultured bacterium. Its description in RNAcentral is "partial 16S ribosomal RNA". It matches the Rfam family "Bacterial small subunit ribosomal RNA", at positions 29 to 523 of the family's 1533-position model. The record is from RNAcentral.